AUGGCUGCUGAACCCUCGGUCCCGGCCGGCUUCGGCACCAGGCCAUGGCUGGUGCAGGCAACGCGAGGGAAGCGGCAGACGUUCAUCGACUCAUCCGACGGAAGCUCGCACGCCGUGAUCGUUCCCGAGAUGCAAGGCAAGACGUGCCUAGGCUGCAUCCACAACGGCGACUGGCUGCUCAUGCUCGACGACUCCACCGCCGAAUGCUUCCUCCUCCGCCUCACCGAAGACGACGACCCUGCAGCCAACAAGAUCCCGCUGCCGCCGCUGCACGAGCCGUCGGAUGAGAUAGCGAGGUGCGCGACGCUCGGUACAUCACCGGCGCACCCAGACUGCGCCGUGGUGAUCGCCGUUGUACACGAGGUAGAAGACGGUGUGGAGAGGUUCCUGCUUCACUGUCGGCCCGGUGACUCGCAGUGGGCCAGGCUUGAGUCCCCGAAGAUCACUCUCCCAUACCUUAUGAUCGGCUAUAGAGGGAAGAUCUACUCUUUCGGGCUCACCGUGAUAGCCGACGACGACCGCCACGGCACGGUCCGAGCGCGACUCGUCGGCACUCUCGUUGGCGCUAAAGAGGUGCACGACAGGCCGCCCAUGUACUAUAUCGUGGAGUCGUGUGGGAAUCUCUUCAACGUAGUCACACAAUAUUUUGGGGACUUUGUCAACGACGGCACACUCACCAGCGUCGCCGUGUACCGCCUAGAUCUCGAGUCCCUCACCUGGACGAGGGUAGACAGCAUCGGCGGCGACCGCGCCUUCCUCAUCUCUGGGCGCUACGGCUUCUCUGUGCCCGUUCGUCCAGGGGCAGGGGGGGGCAACUGUGUGUACUUUGUGUUGUCGGGCUGCGACUGUGAGAGGUUAUACAAGUUUUGCUUGGACGACAACACCACCAGCUUCCAUCAGAUCCUUCCGCAACCUACCGAGCCUGGGUGCAGAGCAUUCUGGACUGUUCCGCCGUUGCCCUUGCCCACGGUGGUGGAAGAAACGGGACUGUUGUUGACCAACCGCCUCGUGCUAGAAGAGAGUUGUGAACCCAUCUUCAAGUUGAAGGAGGAGCAGGCAAACUCUUGGAAUACACGCCCGUGGCAUGAGUUGCCACUAGAACUGCUGGAGCUGGUCGUUUCAAGGCUUUCUUUGGUGGAUCGUCUCCGAUUCCCGGCAGUGUGUAAGUCAUGGAGCCUUGUGACUAACCCGGUUGAGCAAGCCAUUGUGUGGCCUUGGCUCCUGCACUCCUCCGGCCGAGAUGGGGCGUGCAAGCUGUUCGACCCUCUGCGUGGCCAGGAGUACAGCAUGCAUGUUGGAACAUUUGACACGGCCGAAAACGAACACGACGAGCAUAUUUUCCGAUUCUCGAAAGACGGAUGGGUAGCCAUGUCGGACAGCUCAGACAUUGAUGACAUGUACAUCAUAAAUCCCUUCACCGGGGACAUCGUGGAAAUGGCCAUACUCGAUUGGGAAUACAACUUCAUGGGCUUGUCGUGGUCCUCGAUGGACCCAGAAUCUCCGGACUGCAUUUUCUUUGCCGUGAAUAGCAGACAGGAUGGCAAAGCGGUCGGCGCCCUUACAUGGCGGCAUGGCGAGGCCAAGUGGUUUGAACGACAUCUCGAGUACUAUGAAGGGGAUCCAUUCCCAGUGGCAUACAACAACCCUGUCUUGUUCCACGACAAGUUCUAUUGCCUCGGGAGAAAGGGCAACCUUGGCACAUUUGACCCGGCAAGCGACACAUGGACGAUCUUGGAGAAGCCUAACCCGAUUCAUGUGGAGAUGGACCUCGAAGGUGACCACCACGAGGGGAGAGAGUUUUGCUACCUGGUUGAGCUGCGAGGGGAGCUGGUCUCCGUGUUCAUGCGUAACGCAGACCAGCCACCGCGGGUGUUCAAGCUCAACGAGGAGGAGAUGGCCUGGACGAAGGUGCAAGACAUCGGCGGCGCGGCCUUGUUUGUUGAUUUCAGAGUGUCAUACUCUGUGGUGUCACCAGAAGCUGGGCAUGGCAAUAGGAUCUACUUCCCAAGUUAUUCCGAGGAUGGCAAACAAGCCGCGUUCUACGAUAUGGAGACCAAGGCAUACCACCCAUCCUUCUAUGGUUUGAAGUCACCGUUGCAAUGUGUGUGGGUUGUGCCUAAUCUACGGCCACACACCGUAUCAAAAUAA
This 2148-nucleotide ribosomal RNA is filed under the name Triticum aestivum (bread wheat). RNAcentral describes it as "partial small subunit ribosomal RNA". Lineage: Eukaryota; Viridiplantae; Streptophyta; Magnoliopsida; Poales; Poaceae. The record is from RNAcentral.